GACGAACGCUGGCGGCGUGCUUAACACAUGCAAGUCGAACGGAAAGGCCCUGCUUUUGUGGGGUGCUCGAGUGGCGAACGGGUGAGUAACACGUGAGUAACCUGCCCUUGACCUUGGGAUAACUUCAGGAAACUGGGGCUAAUACCGGAUAGGAGCUCCUGCUGCAUGGUGGGGGUUGGAAAGUUUCGGCGGUUGGGGAUGGACUCGCGGCUUAUCAGCUUGUUGGUGGGGUAGUGGCCUACCAAGGCUUUGACGGGUAGCCGGCCUGAGAGGGUGACCGGCCACAUUGGGACUGAGAUACGGCCCAGACUCCUACGGGAGGCAGCAGUGGGGAAUAUUGCACAAUGGGCGGAAGCCUGAUGCAGCAACGCCGCGUGCGGGAUGACGGCCUUCGGGUUGUAAACCGCUUUCGCCUGUGACGAAGCGUGAGUGACGGUAAUGGGUAAAGAAGCACCGGCUAACUACGUG
RNAcentral lists this ribosomal RNA (468 nucleotides) under uncultured bacterium. RNAcentral describes it as "partial 16S ribosomal RNA". It matches the Rfam family "Bacterial small subunit ribosomal RNA", at positions 28 to 507 of the family's 1533-position model. The record is from RNAcentral.